Molecule: ribosomal RNA, 497 nt
Filed under: uncultured bacterium
Lineage: Bacteria
Description: partial 16S ribosomal RNA
Rfam family: Bacterial small subunit ribosomal RNA
Source: RNAcentral
GAUGAACGCUGGCGGCGUGCCUAAUACAUGCAAGUCGAGCGAACAGACGAGGAGCUUGCUCCUCUGACGUUAGCGGCGGACGGGUGAGUAACACGUGGAUAACCUACCUAUAAGACUGGGAUAACUUCGGGAAACCGGAGCUAAUACCGGAGAAUAUAUUGAACCGCAUGGUUCAAUGGUGAAAGACGGUUUUGCUGUCACUUAUAGAUGGAUCCGCGCCGCAUUAGCUAGUUGGUAAGGUAACGGCUUACCAAGGCAACGAUGCGUAGCCGACCUGAGAGGGUGAUCGGCCACACUGGAACUGAGACACGGUCCAGACUCCUACGGGAGGCAGCAGUAGGGAAUCUUCCGCAAUGGGCGAAAGCCUGACGGAGCAACGCCGCGUGAGUGAUGAAGGUCUUCGGAUCGUAAAACUCUGUUAUUAGGGAAGAACAAAUGUGUAAGUAACUAUGCACGUCUUGACGGUACCUAAUCAGAAAGCCACGGCUAACUACGUG